Lolium perenne is the source of this 8395-nucleotide long non-coding RNA. RefSeq lists it as uncharacterized. Lineage: Eukaryota; Viridiplantae; Streptophyta; Magnoliopsida; Poales; Poaceae. The record is from RefSeq and is a predicted model, not a curated record.
AUCGGGUGGGGAAAAAAACUGGAUCGAAGAAGAGUGGGCAGAAAAGCGGUGCGGUAGCUGAAGGAAGAGGGCGGAGGUCAUAGGGACGGUGGCGGACAGCACGGUCCCUCGUCGCUUGGCUUGCCUCCAGUUUUUUUCACGAUUCGGCCGUGGAUGCAGGGGACUGAGCCACGGCAUCACCGAUUGGCUUGCCUCCAGUUUGCAAGCGCGGAGGUGAAUUGCUACCUGAACAGGGGUGGUUCGUGCAGCCGGGACCAAUGGUGAGCCUGAGCGUGGAAGAAGCUCCGUGCGAUGGGAGCUGAUGAAACCUGCCGGCCUGGCGCAGGUGACCAACGGAGCAACCAUGGGUUCAGGCAUGAAUAGCUGACGGAAAACCGAAUACCUAAGUUUAACCGAGAGCUGGACAUGGGCAGCCGCCGGUAGGCAUCAGUAGCUCAAACCGAGCCCGGCCUGGCAGGCGAUUGCUCGGAUGAGGUGCUGUCACGGAACCAGAUGAGUUGUGGAUAACCAAAAACAUGCAGUAGUAAAAGCCAAUUCAGAAGUGUUGCAGGUCUGGAACCCCGCAUUGGCCAUCUCCAUAUUUUUUGCUAGUAUAUGCCAAAAACCAUGGCGCGGAAGCAGGACGACCUGGCCGGCCAACAGCAACAACGUCCACCCAUCAAAGGCCUGCAUGAAGAAAGACAUUGAGAUGUAAGUUUGUUCUCGGUAUCCGACGGCGCUAGCCUUGCACGCAGCUGCUUCACUGACAGGAAGACGCAUUCCACGGGAGGACAGGCAUCACGGCGGCAAUCGGUAGUAUGUGGCCGUGGCUGUCUUAGUUGCAGGACUCACCAGGGACACACAGAGCGGGGGCUCCUCUGUUGCCCUUCCACAUCUGAGGCACGGUGCUGCUGGCCACGUGGCGCCGUCCAUGGCGGGGCUCUUCGGCCGCCGUGCCAUCUAACGAAAAGAGACCCAAGCAUGGGAGAACCUAGUUGAUCUUUCCCACAGCUCCUAACCGCCGGCGACCAUGUCUGGCUCCCGCGUCCAGCGCAGGCCGCCUCAAGAAGGGACGGGGAUGGGAGGCAACCAACUUGGCCGCGGUCUAGCAAAUCGGGAGGCCGAAACUGCUCCCGUUCAGCCUUGCCGCCAUGACCCACCAGCAGCACCACACGGUCGCUGUUGCCCAUCCAUGGCGGUGGCACGGAUGUGGAGGCGGCGCGACGGCUUGGGGAAGGAAAAGAAGAUAACAUGACAAAAUCAAAUCGCUUUAGAGAGGAUCUAGAACGCCAUGGGAGAAUCGCUGUGGAGAGGGCUCCGGAACUCCAUGGGAGAAGCGAUCGAGAGAUCCUUAUUCUUCACGAUUUUUCUGUGAAAGCGGUGCGGCCGUGGGGUAAGAAAAGUGGUAGAAAGUGGGUCCAUCCCGUAGAUUUCUCUGGAGGGAGCACUAACCGGAAGUUGCCUAACAAACCGGUAGCCGGUAUCCACCCACGCGAGAAAAAAAAAAUCCAAACGGGUUAAGUGACCAAGUGGUAAAAGAUGAGACUACGUGUCAGCAAACAAUCGGAGGAAGAGUUGGAUAAAUAGCAAUCUACAGUAACUGAAACUCUGAGAGCGUGUAAAUUUGUUUAGCUUUUAUAUAGUGUAUAAUGUAUAAUAAUGUGGGCGCCUCGUGUAGCCGAUAGAUUCGUACCACGUGCAGUGCGUCACCAUGCAAGUACUUCGGUCACCCACAUGCUGAUAGUAUCAAAGAAAGAGAAAGGAACAUCCACGCUAGGGAAUUCAGAAGUCAAGUACCAAGGCAAUGUUUCGUACAAGCAAAUCAAAAGAAAGUUGGAGGAGAUGAUUUCAUGCCAUGUGAAGCCACAAGAGUAUCUGUUGACUGGAGACGUGUUUGGCCGAAAAUCCACAAAGCGUUGCAUGACUACAUCUGCAGCGUCAACCCUGUUGACAGCGCUAAUUAAAUACCACACGAGUCAUCGUGUCGUGAAAUCGCCAAAUUCUCCACCCAAAACAAGGAUCGUCGGAACUUCAUCGGCUGGACUCCACUACAUUCGAUACAAAAAUAUCAGGUGCUAUAUUUUCAAUCUAUAUCUAAUGAUAAAGAAAAUAAGGUUUCUUACGGUCCAACACUUUUUUGGAUCAAUUUACCCUCCCACCAAAAUCACAAUACAUCUGAAUACCACCGUAAUUGUUGGUCCGUCCGCGUCAAACCUGCCGUCUCGAUCGUACGUGGUAGUUUCUGUUUUGCAUUGUUUCGUACGUGGUAUGUCUGCUAGCCGGAUCGAUUGCUCGUGCUUGCCCCUCCCCACGAUUCCAAAAAUCCAAAUCCUACACGAGACCCAGCCCGAGCCGGAAAGCAAUGUUGGAGCGAUCCCGCAUCUACUCAUAGCGCGUCGACUUCAUACAUCUCCAUGGCGAUUUAGUCUCUCAUCUAAGGAAAGAACUCUAGAUCGAUCGGGUAUAGCCGUAAUAGGCUUUCCUAACGGGACUCUUUCAUAGCUACAAUCUCCUGGUCCCUAUAUAUCCACGUGAGAUCUAGGAGACGAGAUUGACCUGCACCAAAUCUACCCAAUAGCUUGGCCACGACCAACUAUCGAUGGAAUAAGAAGCGCUAGCUCGAGGAGGUAGCCACGGCAGCCCCGACGCGCCAUCAGGUCAGCUUGGGUCAGAGGUGAGAUGUGACCGUGGCUGAGGCUGGCGCAGACGUGGUCUUCGACUCUUCGUGGUGCAUUGCGUCGGGAUGACGAACCAGGUACUUGUUGAAACGAUGGAGGAUCUUGGUGUCAACUCGGAGACAAUGAACUCCGCAGGCGUGCUACUGACGGUGCACAACGCCUGGAUGACGAACCAGGUGCAGAUCAUGACGUGGAGGCAAGAUGGUCUCCAAGUCUCAUCAGAACGAUGGAUGAUCUUGGGAAAGUUGAAAAAUAGAUUGGUCGGGCCGUCGCAACAAAUUAGCACGCUGCCGCGAUCUGUACUGAUGACCUAUGUGUUCCGGUGUGCGCCCCUGUUGGGCAGGAUUAGCUCCAACAACAUGCUGUCAGUCCUCAGGUGGUUUGGUCCAGCGCGACAUGGGCGCUCUCUGGAGCUUGCGCUGCUUUUUGAGUGAGCUAAGUCACGCAAUGUUGUGAGCAUUUGUACUGUAUAAACAUGUUCCAGGUAUUAUUCCCUCCGACAGUUCUCUGCAUAUUUGAGAAAGGUGAGGCCAAGGCUUGGAUGACUGGGUGCUCCUGGAGGAAGAAAAAAGUACCACAAGCGCAGCUUGCUUUUGAACUGAUGGUCAGUUAAAACACAUUGUCCUACAGCGGGAUUCUCAGUGUAUAUUAGCAAGUAGUGCAUUGCUGAAUUCAAUAGAAGAAGCUCGAGUUCUUGGAUAGCAUCUGAUGUGCACUGGCUGAAGGUAAAUUUUGAUGCCUCGGCUGCUGCCGAACCUCAGAACCUCAGGCUAUGGUGUUGUACAUCAUGGGAAGAAUUACUUUGCAAACCGACCAAUCCUUGAAUCUGCAAAGGUUUUGAUCUGCUAUGAGAGGACGUGACACUCUUGAUUUUUUUAUUUUGCCCCUCAGAUCUUUGUUAUCUGUGCGCAAGUACCAAACACACAUUGUUUUGGCGGAAUCGUUGGUUCAGGUCAAUCACUUUUUUUGUUUUUGUUUUGAAAUUAACCAGCUUUUUCGGUUUAUAGUUUCCAUCAGAGUCUCGCUCGGUCCGCCAGGCGGGCGCUAACAAAUGUGUUUUCCUACAUAAUACCACAUUUUAUCAAUGUUUCUUCUGCCGCAACACAUAUUUAAUGGUUGAGGAAGAUCGAGAGAAAAAAGAAAGGGGAUGGAGGGAUGCUCGCAAGCAGGAAAAGGGGGCGGAGCUAAGGGCCGGAAAGAGGUGAUGAUGUGCGCUGGUGCAAGGAGAAGGGCGUGGAGGCAACAUGCAGGUGAAAGGUGUGGUGUGCUGCUGAAUUUAUCUCACGGUUUGGUGGGGGCGAAGGGAACAAGUCACCGGGGUUUUCUUUUGGGAGGUCCGACGGUUUGGUCUCAAGAUUGCUGGGUUUUUGAACCAGUAGGUGGAAGGUGCACCACAUCGUCGAAGUUAGAACGGAAAAUUAGUGAAAGUACAAAGGGAAUGAGUAUUUCGAGCGGGUAAGGCGUUAGGAUUGUUGGUUUUGUGUAUUUGAGUUUGAGUUCCCACAUAGCUAUAUAUGUGUCACCCACCCUCGACGAUGGUGACAAAGAGGAGAAGUGUCAACACGAAUGGUUUGCUGAAACGUUUGAGUAUUUGUUUCUCCCGGUGCAACGCACGGGCACUUUUACUAGUUACGUAAAAUUUAUUUUGCCUACUAUUUUCUUUCGCUUAUACUAUUAUUUGCGUGCAGUUUUUGCACCACAAUAUACCUGCAGAUUGAAACAAAGCUUCGACUGCUCUGCUCGAUUGACCGCGCCCACCAUCGCGCACUGAUUGCACUCAGGGUUUACCUGUCUUGGACCCAACAUUACGAACUCAAUAUAUUCGGAUGCUCACCCGCCGCGGAUCGACCAUAUCAACUGCGUCCUCUUCAUCGGCCAUGCCAGCUAGGCGUCGCGUGGCUACAUCAACUAUCUUGGAUGGCGCAAUUAUUUCAGCUGCACUCGACGCAAGGAUUAUCUUGGAUAGCGCAAUUAUUUUGACUGCGCCUGCCGCAUGGACUUUCUUUGGUGGCGCAAUUAUUUUGACUGCGCCCGCCGCAUGGACUUUCUUUGGUGGCGCAACUAUUUCGACUGCGCCCGCCGCAUGGACUUUCUUUGGUGACGCAACUAUUUCGACUGCGCCCGCCGCAUGGACUUUAUUUGGUGGCGCAACUACUUCGACUGCGCCCUUCGCAUGGACUAUCUUUGGUGGCGCAACUAUUUCGACUACGCCCGUCGCAACGAUUAUCUUUGGCCUCGCGACUAUUUCGACUGCGCCCGCUACAUCAGCUAUUUCUGAUUGACUACUUCGAUUGCGUCUACCAUGUGAUCUGUCUCCACAUUGGCCUCGCCGCAGUCGAACUCAGUGUUCCUCUUUCUUUUGCCACACCCGAUGUUCAGGGAGGCGCCAUUAUCCGUGAAAAUUUUGGGGGUGUGGGGGUCAAAUCCGUGGCAACCAAGGAGCUCUUGAUACCAUAUGAUAAGGGCUAAGCCCAAGGGUGUGCCCGAUCUUCACGGAUUUGGAUGGGAUUCAUGGGGGAGGUGGAAGAACACGAAGAACGUGGGUGGAAAGCGGGGUGGAGCGAAGAUACAAACGCAACACACACACAACCGGUUGUUCUUCGUUGGCCCGAUACACCAACCCAAUGGAAUUGCAAGAAAAAGACCCACAAGGGGGAUCCCGCCGCCCCUCCCACCAUGAGAUGAGAUAUUUGCCUAAACCUAAACCCAUCAUUCCUCAGAAAAGAUUGGCAAUAGCAAUUGAUAGAGUUCCAAAGAGGAAAAGAGUGCAAAUAGAUAGAAUUGCAAAAGCAAAAGAUCCAAAACACUAGAAUUCCUAGAAUGGAAGAGAUCAACUACCUAGAAGAGUAGAUAACUUCGUAGAUUGGUAGAUCUAGAAGGGUUUCCCGCGGGAAGGAGCAUAGCUCAUGUUUUCUCUUACAUCAAGUCUGAAUCUCAGAUCUGAGCCAACAAGGCUAUUUAUAGUUGGUGGGGCGAAGGGGUAAGUUACAUGCUGGAUCUGCCAGUUUUGGUGCUGAAACGCGGGUAGGCGGAAGUUCCGGUCGGGCGGAAGUUCCGGUCCGAUCGGGCCGGAAGUUCCAGCCAACUUCCGGCCUAGCUCCGGAAACUGUCGAUUUCCUUGCAGCACUAUCCAGUUUUGUUUUGGCGCGUUUCCGGAACAAGGACGGAACUUGGGCGGAAGUUCCGGUGGCCGGAAGUUCCGGUCGUCAGGGGCGGAAGUUCCGGCUGGAUGCUUUUUCCUGGGCGCUGGAGGGCAUCUGGGAGGCAUCUGGCCGGAAGUUCCGGUCCUAGGGGGCGGAAGUUCCGGCUGGAGCGUUGGGACUCCAUCUUCUUCAUUUCCAGCUCCCUCUUCCUUGGCGUGGUCUCCGUGGCUUGCGUCUUGGUCGAUGUACCUGAUUGAACAUAGUGUAUUUGCAUGAAGUAGCACGCCAUCCAAAGGGGUAUCAAAUGCAUACGUGGAAAGGAGCGAAUUCACCUCUUGGUGUAGGGCUUGGGCUCGAGCUCGUGUCAUUGGACCACGAGGAGGGCUUGUCGGUCUUGAGGAGGCGGUGUCCAAAGGCCACCCCGUAUCAUCUCCCCCCCUUGGGAAAGAGUCGUCCUCGACUCUAUGUUCUCCUCAUCUCCAUGAUAGGGUGAGAGGUCGGACACAUUGAAUGUGUUGCUCACCAAGUACUUGGAUGUUGGUAUGUCGAUGACGUAAGCGUUGUCGUUGAUGCGCUUGAGGACCUUGAAGGGACCAUCGCCUCGAGGCUUGAGCUUGGAGUUUCUUUCUUGAGGAAAGCGGUCCUUGCGAAGAUGUAUCCACACUAGGUCUCCUUCAUUGAAGAUCCGUGCCUUUUUCUUCAUGUUGAGUCUACUUGCUUGAGGAAGAACUUGUUGCUCGAUCGUUUCCCUUGUAUCUUCUUGUAGCUUCUUCAUGUAUUGGGCUCGCUUGUCGAUGUUCAUGUUUACUUGCUCAUGUAGCGGGAGAGGAAGGAGGUCAAUCGUCGUAGGUGGUUCAAACCCGUAGACAACCAUGAAUGGGCUUCUCAUUGUAGUAGAGUGCUUGGCGCGGUUGUAGGCAAACUCCGCGUGCGGGAUGCAAUCUUCCCAUGACUUCAAAUUCUUCUUGACAAGGACUCGGAGUAGUGUGGAGAGGCUUCGGUUCACCACUUUUGUUUGUCCAUCGGUUUGUGGGUGCGAGGAUGAUGAAAACAAAAGCUUGACGUUGAACUUGGCCAUUAGUGUCUUCCAAAGGUAGCUCAUGAACUUGACAUCUCGGUCUGAAACAAUGCUUCUUGGUACACUGUGGAGUCUCACAAUUUCCCUAAAAAACAAAGAGGCAAUAUGUGAAGCAUCAUCCGUUCGGGAGCAUGGUAUGAAAUGAGCCAUUUUAGAGAAUCGAUCAACCACUACAAAAAUUGAAUCAUGACCAUAUUUGGUUCGAGGAAAUCCUAGUACGAAAUCCAUACUUAUAUCGGACCAAGGAGCAUAAGGAAUAGGCAAUGGUGUAUAAAGACCAUAGGGGUUGGAAGUGGACUUAGCUUGUAAGCAUGUUGUACACCGUCGGCAAAGGCGUUCCACGUCGCGGUACAUUCUUGGCCAAUAAUAGUGAGUGGAAACCAUGGCAUAUGUCUUCUCUCGUCCAAAGUGUCCCAUAAGACCACCACCAUGCGAUUCUUGUAAUAGCAAAAGGCGAAGCAAAGACAUGGGAAUACAAAGUUUGUUGCCCUUGAACAAGAAUCCUUGGUGCAAAUAGAAAUCAUCGAUGCCCUUAUCAUUAGAACACUUUGCGAAGAUUGGGCCAAAGAAAGUAUCGGAGGCAUAUAAGUCUUUGAUUUCAUCAAGACCCAAAACAUGGAAAUCCAAUCGAGUGAGUAAAAGGGUGAGUUUGCGGGAAAGAGCAUCCGCAACUACAUUGUCCUUGCCCUUCUUGUAUUUGAUUACAUAUGGAAAGGACUCAAUGAACUUAACCCGUUUUGCAUGUUGUUUGUUCAAAUUGUGUUGACUUUUCAAAUACUUCAAAGACUCAUGGUCGGAAUGAAUGACAAACUCUUUUGGCCAAAGGUAAUGUUGCCAAACUUCAAGAACACGAACUAAAGCAUAAAGUUCCUUGUCAUAUAUAGGAUAGUUGAGGCGUGCGCCAUCCAACUUUUCGCUAUAGUAUGCCACGGGUUUUCCAUUUUGCAUGAGGACACCACCAAUUCCAAGUCCACUCGCAUCACAUUCUAUCUCAAAAGUUUUUGUAAAAUCGGGAAGAAUGAGGAGUGGUGCCUCGGUGAGUUUCUUUUUCAAUUCAUCAAAAGCGUGUUGUUGUGCCUUGCCCCAAACAAACGGAACAUUCUGAAGGAGAUAUGCCCUAGAGGCAAUAAUAAAGUGGUUAUUAUAUAUCUUUAUGUUUAUGAUAAAUGUUUAUAUACCAUGCUAUAAUUGUAUUAACCGAAACAUUGAUACAUGUGUGAUAUGUAAACAACAAAGAAGUCCCUAGUAUGCCUCUUAACUAGCUUGUUGAUUAAUGGAUGAUUAGUUUCAUAAUCAUGAACAUUGGAUGUUAUUAAUAACAAGGUUAUAUCAUUAUAUGAAUGAUGUAAUGGACACACCCAAUUAAGCAUAGCAUAAGAUCACGUCAUUAAAUUAUUUGCUAUAAGCUUUUGAUACAUAGUUACCUAGUCCUUAUGACCAUGAGAUCAUGUAAAUCACUUAUACCGGAAAGGUACUUUGAUUACAUCAAACGCCACUGCGUAAAUGGGUGGUUAUAA